This 492-nucleotide ribosomal RNA is filed under the name uncultured bacterium. RNAcentral describes it as "partial 16S ribosomal RNA". It matches the Rfam family "Bacterial small subunit ribosomal RNA", at positions 29 to 507 of the family's 1533-position model. The record is from RNAcentral.
AGUGAACGCUGGCGGCAGGCCUAAUACAUGCAAGUCGAACGGCAGCACAAUAAGCGUUCGCUUUUCCGGGUAGCGGCUGACGGGUGGGUAACGCAUACAUAGCCUUCCUCUUUUUCGUGGAUAACAACGUAGAACAACAGCUGAUACCACAUCAUAUGACAUACUGCUUAAUGCAUAGGUUAAACGUACUCUUGCCGCAUGAAUGAGACGAAUUCGGAUUAGUUGGGUGGCUGGGUAAGGGCCCACCAAGCCAACGAACCGUAGCUGGUCUGAGAGGAUGAUCGGCCACACUGGAACUGGGACACGGUCCAGACUCCUACGGGAGGCAGCAGCGGGGAAUAUUGGACAAUGGGCGAAAGCCUGAUGCAGCAAUACCGCGUGGGUGAAGAAGGUCUUCGGGUCGUAAAGCCCUUUUGUUGGGAAAGAAAAGCAGCAGAUUAAAACGCCGCUGUUCUGACGGUACCUAAUGAGUAAGCACCGGCUAACUACGUG